Molecule: signal recognition particle RNA, 306 nt
Filed under: Brachypodium distachyon (stiff brome)
Lineage: Eukaryota; Viridiplantae; Streptophyta; Magnoliopsida; Poales; Poaceae
Description: SRP RNA Plant_SRP
Rfam family: Plant signal recognition particle RNA
Source: Rfam by way of RNAcentral
GCCGAGCUCAGCAGCGAGAGCUUGUAACCCGAGUGGGGGCAUUCGAGGUGGUGUGGACUCUGGAGUAUGGAUGUGAACCUGGGCCGGGAAUGCUACUGAUGGCCCCACCCAUUCCAAGUUGCGUAGUGGAUCUGCUGGGGCCUAUGCGAAAGCUGGGCCUCACGAAUUCUAUAGUGGCAGGCACCGCGUUAGGCUGGCUUCACAGAGCAGCGACAACUGCCCGCUUCCAACGGUGGAAGGAUAACGGGCCGCUGCAUUCCCGGCCCGCUUGGGUCUCAUAGCCUACUCCAAAGAACCACCACUUUU